UCAUGCCGCGCGUGAUCAAAGUGAAAAACUUGGCUCCCUGUGAUCUCCAUCACGCGGCACGUGAUGGGCUACGCCCCCAGCGUAGUGAAAAUCAGCAAUUUCCUACAAUUUUUCAUGUUUUCUUGCAAAACAAGUAAUCAAGCUUAUGAUUAGAUUUCUCUUACAUUUAUUGCUUAAAACCUACUAAAAUGCAUUUAAUGUUGCUAAAAUAGGCAUGGAUUAGAUAGUGUGACGAUCCGUC
This 241-nucleotide long non-coding RNA is filed under the name Trifolium pratense (red clover). RNAcentral describes it as "long non-coding RNA (TPRA_LNC005899)". Lineage: Eukaryota; Viridiplantae; Streptophyta; Magnoliopsida; Fabales; Fabaceae. The record is from RNAcentral.